UACGUAGGGUGCAAGCGUUGUCCGGAAUUAUUGGGCGUAAAGAGCUCGUAGGCGGUCUGUCGCGUCGGCUGUGAAAUCCCGGGGCUCAACCCCGGGCCUGCAGUCGAUACGGGCAGACUAGAGUGCGGUAGGGGAGACUGGAAUUCCUGGUGUAGCGGUGGAAUGCGCAGAUAUCAGGAGGAACACCGAUGGCGAAGGCAGAUCUCUGGGCCGUAACUGACGCUGAGGAGCGAAAGCGUGGGGAGCGAACAGG
This 253-nucleotide ribosomal RNA is filed under the name uncultured bacterium. RNAcentral describes it as "partial 16S ribosomal RNA". It matches the Rfam family "Bacterial small subunit ribosomal RNA", at positions 524 to 776 of the family's 1533-position model. The record is from RNAcentral.